GAUGAACGCUGGAGGCGUGCCUAAUACAUGCAAGUCGAGCGAACAGACGAGGAGCUUGCUCCUCUGACGUUAGCGGCGGACGGGUGAGUAACACGUGGAUAACCUACCUAUAAGACUGGGAUAACUUCGGGAAACCGGAGCUAAUACCGGAUAAUAUAUUGGACCGCAUGGUUCAAUAGUGAAAGACGGUUUUGCUGUCACUUAUAGAUGGAUCCGCGCCGCAUUAGCUAGUUGGUAAGGUAACGGCUUACCAAGGCAACGAUGCGUAGCCGACCUGAGAGGGUGAUCGGCCACACUGGAACUGAGACACGGUCCAGACUCCUACGGGAGGCAGCAGUAGGGAAUCUUCCGCAAUGGGCGAAAGCCUGACGGAGCAACGCCGCGUGAGUGAUGAAGGUCUUCGGAUCGUAAAACUCUGUUAUUAGGGAAGAACAAAUGUGUAAGUAACUAUGCACGUCUUGACGGUACCUAAUCAGAAAGCCACGGCUAACUACGUG
Molecule: ribosomal RNA, 497 nt
Filed under: uncultured bacterium
Lineage: Bacteria
Description: partial 16S ribosomal RNA
Rfam family: Bacterial small subunit ribosomal RNA
Source: RNAcentral